This 580-nucleotide ribosomal RNA is filed under the name Staphylococcus hominis. RNAcentral's name for it is "bacterial SSU rRNA". It matches the Rfam family "Bacterial small subunit ribosomal RNA", at positions 60 to 622 of the family's 1533-position model. Lineage: Bacteria; Bacillati; Bacillota; Bacilli; Caryophanales; Staphylococcaceae. The record is from RNAcentral.
AGUCGAGCGAACAGACGAGGAGCUUGCUCCUUUGACGUUAGCGGCGGACGGGUGAGUAACACGUAGGUAACCUACCUAUAAGACUGGGAUAACUUCGGGAAACCGGAGCUAAUACCGGAUAAUAUUUCGAACCGCAUGGUUCGAUAGUGAAAGAUGGCUUUGCUAUCACUUAUAGAUGGACCUGCGCCGUAUUAGCUAGUUGGUAAGGUAACGGCUUACCAAGGCAACGAUACGUAGCCGACCUGAGAGGGUGAUCGGCCACACUGGAACUGAGACACGGUCCAGACUCCUACGGGAGGCAGCAGUAGGGAAUCUUCCGCAAUGGGCGAAAGCCUGACGGAGCAACGCCGCGUGAGUGAUGAAGGUCUUCGGAUCGUAAAACUCUGUUAUUAGGGAAGAACAAACGUGUAAGUAACUGUGCACGUCUUGACGGUACCUAAUCAGAAAGCCACGGCUAACUACGUGCCAGCAGCCGCGGUAAUACGUAGGUGGCAAGCGUUAUCCGGAAUUAUUGGGCGUAAAGCGCGCGUAGGCGGUUUUUUAAGUCUGAUGUGAAAGCCCACGGCUCAACCGUGGAGGG